Molecule: ribosomal RNA, 157 nt
Filed under: Thelephoraceae sp. EMF47
Lineage: Eukaryota; Fungi; Basidiomycota; Agaricomycetes; Thelephorales; Thelephoraceae
Also listed under: 3 other names
Description: 5.8S ribosomal RNA
Rfam family: 5.8S ribosomal RNA
About the family: 5.8S ribosomal RNA (5.8S rRNA) is a component of the large subunit of the eukaryotic ribosome.
Source: RNAcentral
CAACUUUCAGCAACGGAUCUCUUGGCUCUCGCAUCGAUGAAGAACGCAGCGAAAUGCGAUAAGUAAUGUGAAUUGCAGAAUUCAGUGAAUCAUCGAAUCUUUGAACGCACCUUGCGCCCCUUGGCUAUUCCGAAGGGCAUGCCUGUUUGAGUAUCAU